This 467-nucleotide ribosomal RNA is filed under the name uncultured bacterium. RNAcentral's name for it is "partial 16S ribosomal RNA". It matches the Rfam family "Bacterial small subunit ribosomal RNA", at positions 28 to 507 of the family's 1533-position model. The record is from RNAcentral.
GAUGAACGCUGACAGAAUGCUUAACACAUGCAAGUCGACUUGAAUUUGGGUUUUUAACUUAGGUUGGGGUGGCGGACGGGUGAGUAACGCGUAAAGAACUUGCCUCCCAGCUAGGGACAACAUUUGGAAACGAAUGCUAAUACCUAAUAUUAGCAUAAUAGGCCAUCCUAUAAUUAUGAAAGCUAUAAGCGAUGUGAGAGAACUUUGCGUCCCAUUAGCUAGUUGGUGAGGUAACGGCUCACCAAGGCGAUGAUGGGUAGCCGGCCUGAGAGGGUGAUAGGAAACAAGGGGAUUGAGACACGGCCCGUACCCAUCCGGGAGGCAGGAGUGGGGAAGGUUGGACAAUGGACCGAGAGGAUGAUUGAGCCAUUGUGUGUGCAUGAUGGAGUAUUUAGGAAGGUAAAGAGAUUUCAGUUAGGAAGAAACAAAUGACGGUACCAACAGAAGAAGUGACGGCUAAAUACGUG